CAGCCGGAAGCAAUGGUGUUCUUCUC
This 26-nucleotide non-coding RNA is filed under the name Homo sapiens (human). The record is from RNAcentral. Lineage: Eukaryota; Metazoa; Chordata; Mammalia; Primates; Hominidae.